GCGUGUGAUAGUUGAGAGGUUAAGGCGUUGGACUCGAAAUCCAAUGGGGUUUCCCCACGCAGGUUCAAACCCUUCUCGUAGCA
Molecule: transfer RNA, 83 nt
Filed under: Ameiurus melas (black bullhead)
Lineage: Eukaryota; Metazoa; Chordata; Actinopteri; Siluriformes; Ictaluridae
Description: tRNA-Ser
Rfam family: tRNA
About the family: Transfer RNA (tRNA) molecules are approximately 80 nucleotides in length. Their secondary structure includes four short double-helical elements and three loops (D, anti-codon, and T loops). Further hydrogen bonds mediate the characteristic L-shaped molecular structure. tRNAs have two regions of fundamental functional importance: the anti-codon, which is responsible for specific mRNA codon recognition, and the 3' end, to which the tRNAs corresponding amino acid is attached (by aminoacyl-tRNA synthetases). tRNAs cope with the degeneracy of the genetic code in two manners: having more than one tRNA (with a specific anti-codon) for a particular amino acid; and 'wobble' base-pairing, i.e. permitting non-standard base-pairing at the 3rd anti-codon position.
Source: RNAcentral